Non-coding RNA from Vicia faba (fava bean), 279 nucleotides. The record is from the annotation of a GenBank genome assembly. Lineage: Eukaryota; Viridiplantae; Streptophyta; Magnoliopsida; Fabales; Fabaceae.
AUGAGAGAAUUGGAAUUCAGAGCUGGACUGAAUGAGCGUCCACCCCGAGAACGGUUAGACCAAGAGUUGCUAUUGCUGAUACAAAUUGGGUCUCACACGGUGGUUGUUGCUAUUCCUAAGAUAAAGUCUAGAAACGCAAAAGCACCACUACCAGCGUCGCCCUCAUCCCAACAACAGGUCAUGGAAGGGGUGACAGUAACACAAACUCGUAUUGUUAUCCAUAGCUCUCAACAUAAACAAACUCACGAACUAGAAAAUCUGAACAAACUCAUAUUUUGA